AACGAACGCUGGCGGCAGGCUUAACACAUGCAAGUCGAGCGCCCCGCCCGGGGAGCGGCAGACGGGUGAGUAACGCGUGGGAACGUACCUUUUGGUUCGGAACAACUCCGGGAAACUGGAGCUAAUACCGGAUAAGCCCUAACGGGGAAAGAUUUAUCGCCGAAAGAUCGGCCCGCGUCUGAUUAGCUAGUUGGUGAGGUAACGGCUCACCAAGGCGACGAUCAGUAGCUGGUCUGAGAGGAUGAUCAGCCACACUGGGACUGAGACACGGCCCAGACUCCUACGGGGGGCAGCAGUGGGGAAUAUUGGACAAUGGGCGCAAGCCUAGUCCAGCCAUGCCGCGUGAGUGAUGAAGGCCUUAGUGUUGUAAAGCUCUUUUGUCCGGGAAGAUAAUGACGGUACCGGAAGAAUAAGCCCCGGCUAACUUCGUG
RNAcentral lists this ribosomal RNA (431 nucleotides) under uncultured bacterium. RNAcentral's name for it is "partial 16S ribosomal RNA". It matches the Rfam family "Bacterial small subunit ribosomal RNA", at positions 29 to 507 of the family's 1533-position model. The record is from RNAcentral.